Molecule: non-coding RNA, 4162 nt
Organism: Vicugna pacos (alpaca)
Lineage: Eukaryota; Metazoa; Chordata; Mammalia; Artiodactyla; Camelidae
Source: RefSeq, a predicted model, not a curated record
GGCCGGGCCGGGCCAGCUCGCUUCGCCCGACGGCGUUAUCUCCGAGCUCGGGCUAUCUAGGUUAUUGAAGCCAAAGCCGCUGAUACGAAUUCUGUGCUUCCGUGCCCAUGAUACUGGUAUCAUUUUUCUGAAAACAGUGCUUUUUGAUAUCAAAGUGUUACCGGCACUCCUGGCUUCUGGUUCUAACUUCCCUCUAAUCUCUUUUUCAUUUCCUUUCUUGGUCAGUGUGGAAAUAACGCCAUUUGUUUUCCUACCCUUCUCCCCAUCCCCAGUUAGAAAAUAGUGAAAGCUUUGGCGGUAGGUCUUUCCGACCAGCCAUCUUAUGAAUCUUUUCCCCGGAGUAAAGGGCUAGCGCUCCGAGUUCUCUCCAGGCGGACCUGGCUGGGUUUGAAAAGCCUCGUGCGCGGUGCGUGAGCCGCCAGCGAAAGCAGAAAAUGUGAUUUGCAGCGUCGGGAGCACCCCGGAGACCGGGAAGUCGCAUGUGUGUUCCCUUGAUCUCUUGAUCUUUGGGAACUUAAAUAUUCUGGCUAUUUUUAUGUUAUCUGAUUUUUAAAGUUUUAUGUGCUUUCGAACUGAUAACCUAAAGUUGAAAUAUUAAAUCCCUAUUCAUAAAUUUUUCAGCCUCUGUUUUACAAAGUUUAAUUUAUUUCCUUUUUGUUUGAUUUGUGUGUGAGAGAGAGAUGAGGAAUUAAGAUUUUUUUCUUUUUUCCCACUUUUCUUUGUGUGACCAUUUUCACUCAGCUUUCUGCUUGUGAAAUGAGAGUAAAGAAAGACUAAUAAUGUGUUUUUCACCCCAAAACAAUGUCUUUUUAAAAACUUUCAGACAGCUGAUGCUGAUUUUGGAACUCUAUAAUCCCAGUGGUGUUUAUGAUUACUUAAUACAGAUUGCCUUGAAGUUGAGUGCAGAUCCAGCUUCUGAAGUUCGGUGGAUCUCCUUCAAACUAGUAAGGAAUCCUGGCCUUUUCUGUAUAUGAUUUUUAGAAAAAGAAAUAUUUAUAUUUCUUCCAUUUUUAACUCCUUUCAUUUUUCUGGGCUUAAUUUAUUAAUUUACCCAUGAGAGCAACUUUUAAAUUGUGAAAAUAGGAACUGAAUUUUAGCUUUUAUCAAUAUGCAAGAUAGCUCUUUUGUUCGGCUGUAUGCUUGAGUGACGCAAAUUGUGGGUAAACCACUUUAUGUAUGAAACCCUGUAAACAAUGGCUUAGUGUUACUUUUAAACUCGGAUUGGGUUUACCCUCCAGCAGAGCUUUGUAGAAAAGUAGCUACCAAGCGAAGACUCCAGCACAGAAAAGCCAAUCCCGUUUUAUGUGUGCUUAUACCAGCUGAAUAACGAGGGGAAAAAAAAAUCUCAUUUGAAAAUAUUGAUUUAGUGAGGUACUCUGAUGGUGUUAAAAUUGUAUAAAAGUGACAUGUUCUGAAAGGUAAUGAUUUAGUUACUAUGCGAGGGGGCGUUUUCUAAAAUUUGGAAUGUUAAGAUUAAUGUAUUUUUCUAACGCCAGUCCCUUGUAAAAUUUCAUUUUUUUGUGAAGGGAUUUUAUGUGUAUGAGUGUGUAUGGCCGUUUAUUUAAACAUCUUUUUUUCUCUGUGUUCUAAUGAUGACUGUGACAAAAAUGACUUUCUCCCGUGCUUAUAAAUUCAUUUUAAAGAUGGAAGGGUGCAUAAAAAUGUCUCGUUUCCAGGUAGAGUAGUAUUCGUAAUUCAAAGAGAUGGCAGCAUUUAAAAUUUGCUCUUUUGAGAUUUUUCCCAGGUUGUGGCAACUCUGCAGAAAUUCUGUUCCAACAGCGAAAGUGCACUGGGGUUUAAAUUUCAUCAGUGAACUCAUCCUGAGGUUCUGGCACGGUUCUAAGUGGGUCGGAAGGCGAGCUUUUGCUUUCCUCGGUCAGGGUAGCCUGGCUGGUGGGAGCAUCUCCCCUGAGCCUGUGUUUGCCACGUGCUGCUGUCAGGUGCGCCCGGCAGAGAGUCGCAGCCCUGGAGGACUGACUCGCCGGGAACUGGGGGGCCGGGGACCAAACCCCCUUAUCUCACAGGAGAGCGGGUCCAACCCAGUCGGGCAGAGUGACUUGCUCAGAGUUCCCCAGUCCUUCCAGGCGUUCAUCCUCUGGAUCGAAUUGGGCGCGCAGUGCGUACUGCGUGCCCGGCACGCUUCAGGUGCUAGAGACAGAAAGUGAACCGCCGCUCGCUUGGCACCUUCCAUCCGGUGGGGUGAGGGCCAGGCCCAGACCCUGCUUCUGUCAGGGCUGGUCAGCACUGCGCCUCAGUGAAGCCAGGAGGAAGGUGGGGUGAAGGACAGAGCAACAGACUAGGGCAGAGACCGUUUCAUCUCUUUAAGGUGAAGUUCAUGUCAGCAAAACUUGACCUGUUUAGCAACUCGGGUCACCCUCUCUCCCUGGCAUCUCGGAAAUGAGGGUGUGAUAUGUUUCGCUGGGGACCAUGGUUGUCAUUUCUUGAACACCUCUCAGUACCAGGCAUCCCAUCCUGUCUCUGAUCCUCAGAAACGAGGCCUGCCAGCAUAAAAUGUCGACCUCACAAACCACAGGCCCAACACUACAGACUUCUAAGAAGAAGAAUUCAGUGCUCUGAAUUAUUUUGUGGAGAAAGGAGCGCCAGGCACUGGAUUGGGGUCUGGGCUUUGGCUGCCGCAUGACAGGCAUGGCCCCUGCCCUCAGAACCUGAGUUCUGGCAAGCAUAAGGGAAGGAGGGAGCAGCCUCUUUGGGGUCUAGGAGCCAGCUGCAGAGGGCACGCUGGCUGUUUCCAGUCUUCCCCUGCAUCUUUUUCUUAUCUUUCUUUUUUUAAAAAUAAAAUUUCUGGAGCUAUAUAUUGAAUUUCCUGGUAUACAGGAUGUCCCCCCACCCCCAAAUUCCAUUUGGCUGAGUCUUUCAAAAAGAAAGGAAGGAGUCCAUACUGUGCCAAGGAAAAUAAGGCACAUGUAUGGGAAUUUCAAUUGUAACUCAGGACAGCAUUUUGGCAACUUCAGCAAGGAGUGAGUUCAUACAUCGGAGGCUACGUAUUAAGAAAAAAAAUCAAUCCGUCUUGCAUUCAGUCCUUGCCAAAAGUCAAUAGAGAUAUUGUUUUGCUUCAGUAACAAGCAAUUUUUUUGCUGUUGUUGUUGUCUUGAAAUUGAGAUUGUCAUGUUGUUAAAAUCAGUUGACCUAGAAGCGAUAGAAUUAUUCAGCUGGAAUCUUGUAUCCUGAGCAGAGCUUAAUUUUCUGUUAAGGGGGAAAAUUAUCUUCUGUUUGUGUUGUGAUGUGUGAGAUUUGCUGCCGAAUCAGAUGUGCUGGUAAAGACUGUCGAGACUUUCUGGUAAAUAAUCUAACCUUUAAAACGUCAGUUUAUGUCUUCAGAUUUUUCUGUCAUAUACUAUGGAUGCCUUUCCAGUGCGGAGAUAUUUUUAUGACUGUAACUUCUCUGCAAAAAGUAUGUUUAAAGCUCCCAUUUUAUUCCUUUUUUGUAACAACUGGGAUUUCUCUAAGAUUUUCCUGGUUCCCUUUGCUAUUCCCUCCUGCAGCUUUGCCAUCACUUUGGCUCUUGGUCACAGGUACGGUGGUGAGCGUUUGUGAUGGACCGCCGCACCUCCGCUGCCUGUUUAGUUGAGCCCUCCGCCUCCUCCGGUGAAUUAGUGGAGAAGCACAAGACGCCCUGUCACAGACAGAGCUCCUUGGAAGGAUCUCAAGGACUGCGUUUUGAUGCAGCUUUGCAUGUGUUCACAAUGGCCUUUCUCCCGCUUCCGGAGUGGCCCAGUACUGGGGUUUUUUUCUGUCAAGUUCGGCCCAGAUCUGCCUGAAAAAAGCCAUAUUUCUGCAGUGUUGGUUUUCUCACUGACGCUAGAAAUACGAUUUUUAAGCAUGACUAAAGACUGUGCUUGACAACAGCUCUCUGUAGACGAUGCAUGCAGGGUGAUUUAGAGCUGUUAUUCACGCAUAAUUCGUCCAGGUAGUUGGCCCUGAAUUGUGCGAUGAAUGUAUUUUAAACUGACUUGGAGAAGAGGGCACAGUUUUCCUAACCACGGCCACAAGCCGCCUCGUUCUCCAGGUUCAAGGAGCUAACAUUAAGAGCAGCUUGGAAGCUGCCAGGAGUUGGGGGUGUGGCCGGAGCCGGGCCUGCGGGGACGCGCGGCCUCUCAGCGAUGCCAAUCGUACCGAUCUCAAUAAACUGAGGCAGCGCCUG